CCUGGCUCAAGAUGAACGCUGGCGGCGUGCUUAACACAUGCAAGUCGAACGAAGCACUUAGGACAGAUUACUUCGGUUUGAAGUCCUAUUUGACUGAGUGGCGGACGGGUGAGUAACGCGUGGGUAACCUGCCUCAUACAGGGGGAUAACAGUUAGAAACGACUGCUAAUACCGCAUAAGCGCACAGUCUCGCAUGGGACAGUGUGAAAAACUCUGGUGGUAUGAGAUGGACCCGCGUCUGAUUAGCUAGUUGGUGAGGUAACGGCUCACCAAGGCGACGAUCAGUAGCCGGCCUGAGAGGGUGAACGGCCACAUUGGGACUGAGACACGGCCCAAACUCCUACGGGAGGCAGCAGUGGGGGAAUAUUGCACAAUGGGGGAAACCCUGAUGCAGCGACGCCGCGUGAAGGAAGAAGUAUUUCGGUAUGUAAACUUCUAUCAGCAGGGAAGAAAUGACGGUACCUGACUAAGAAGCCCCGGCUAACUACGUGCCAGCAGCCGCGGUAAUACGUAGGGGGCAAGCGUUAUCCGGAUUUACUGGGUGUAAAGGGAGCGUAAGCGGUUCACCAAGUCAGAAGUGAAAGCCCGGGGCUCACCCCC
RNAcentral lists this ribosomal RNA (600 nucleotides) under uncultured bacterium. RNAcentral describes it as "bacterial SSU rRNA". It matches the Rfam family "Bacterial small subunit ribosomal RNA", at positions 18 to 616 of the family's 1533-position model. The record is from RNAcentral.